CUUUCAUUUCCUCUGCAAAAUCUCGUCAGGAGAAAGCUAGGGUUUCAAAAAUCAAAUCAAUCCUUAGCUUAGAUUAGCUCAAGAUUUAGAAUCGUCCAUGGAUGUUAUGCAAUGAGUUUGAUUUUGGGUUCAUCCUUGAAUCGGUGAAGAAAACAAUUAUGGGUUUUUUCUUUGGGUGUUUUCGUGUUAAAGAGGAGAACCAAAAUCAUCAUAUCAUCUCUGAUUCUUCCAACAAAAAAAAUCCUUUGGUAUCUAGGAAUCGUCUAGCAGUGUUACUCUUAUCUGAAUCUCAAGGUGUGGGUUGCAGCUGUAAUGAUGGAGGUGGAUUGGUAGUUUGUCCUAAUUUUGUUAUGAAGAAGCUGAAGUGUUGAUUUGGGUUGCAGUGAAUUAUGUCUUAGAUGAGGAUGAUUAUGAGUUACUGUGGGAUAACAAUGUGGGAUUUCACCGUCCUGCACCAUGCCAGGUGAUCCUUCUAUAGUUGGAAAAGAAACGGGCCAAGGCGAAUUUCUAUAUAUGGGUCGAGUGAGGUGUCCUAGUAACUUUCAAGUUGAGAGCACUUUUUUUUGGGAGUUGUUUUCUUUCAAUACUUGUCAGGUGAUCCUUCUAUACUUGUCCAAUGGUUUCGUGUAUGCAAUUAGCUUUUCUGUUCUUGGUGAUCAUAUAUGCAGUCUCUAUUCUUCAUAUCACUUUCUUCAUCUAUCUCAACAAAGUUUCUGCAGGAUGUGGUGCUUACAUCACCUGCAAGCAAGAUAUGAUGCAGCCUAAUGCUAGCAUCAAAGACAGGUACAUACUAUAUUUUUUUUAAGUUUUUACAGUUCCAAUCUUGAAAACUUAUACGCCAAAUUGGAAUGUUGUACAUACUAGCACUUUAAAGGCAACAGUUUAGAAUGUAUGGAUGGGGCCUAGAUUGUACUAUAUAAAGUAUCGACUGAUAUUGGUAUGUGAACUGGUGCACUAGUAAAUGGUUCCUGCAUGGUGUUAGUAAAGGACCAUUAGCAUGUCCCUAAUGACAUGUCGGUAAAUAUCAUGUCUAUGACCAGAUCAUUUCAUUCAAGCAUGAAUUAGUGGAAUGGCCUGACUGAUGAGUUAGUUAAUCGCCUUUUCAUGGGUUCAUCUGGACUCAGUUUCCUUCAAAUUUGAUGAAUGCAUUACUGCUUGGGGAUGCAAUACAAGAUCUUCCUGAAGUCACCCGAGAAGACACCUUCUUCAACUGCGUGGCAUGCUGUUUCAACAGGGACCAUGUUUACUGUCUACUACAAACCAAGGGAGUAAUUAGGUGUGGAAGUGUUUGCGCGAAGUUGUAGCUGGGAUUAGGUAUACAGUUUUCUUAGUUACAGAAUAUGUUCAUGAUCUUUGUACUACACAGAAUUUGUAUUCCCUUAGGACAUAGGAAUGAACUUAUAGUGAUAUAAGUGAGAAUGAACUAAACUUAGGAAGUUUCUAAGUAUUCCCUUAGAAAUUUUUUGGUACUUAGAAUUUGUUUUCUUUUUUUGAUAUGAAUCGAAUGUGUAUUGAUAUGAAUUGAAU
Papaver somniferum (opium poppy) is the source of this 1527-nucleotide long non-coding RNA. RefSeq lists it as uncharacterized. The record is from RefSeq and is a predicted model, not a curated record. NCBI's taxonomy places the organism in Eukaryota, Viridiplantae, Streptophyta, Magnoliopsida, Ranunculales, Papaveraceae. The transcript has 7 exons.